GUCAAUAUCUUGUUCUCUAUCUCCUAAUUAGAUUGUUGUUCCAUAAAACCAACAUCACAAUUUUCAAUGGUUUUCUCAACUACCUCUUAAGUAUGAGAGAAAGGCAAGUUCUAUUAAAGCUUGACACAAGAGUAGAAGUACUUUUUGUUGAAUGAAAUUCUAUUUGUACUCCUAUCUGCCAUUGAUGGAGUCUGAUCCACAAGCAAUCUCCA
Molecule: long non-coding RNA, 212 nt
Filed under: Glycine max (soybean)
Lineage: Eukaryota; Viridiplantae; Streptophyta; Magnoliopsida; Fabales; Fabaceae
Description: long non-coding RNA (GMAX_LNC004113)
Source: RNAcentral